RNAcentral lists this ribosomal RNA (403 nucleotides) under uncultured bacterium. RNAcentral's name for it is "bacterial SSU rRNA". It matches the Rfam family "Bacterial small subunit ribosomal RNA", at positions 355 to 774 of the family's 1533-position model. The record is from RNAcentral.
UGAGGAAUAUUGCUCAAUGGGCGAAAGCCUGAAGCAGCAACGCCGCGUGCGCGAUGAAGGUCUUCGGAUCGUAAAGCGCUUUUGAGAGGGACGAGAUAGGACGGUACCUCUUGAAUAAGCAUCGGCUAACUUCGUGCCAGCAGCCGCGGUAAUACGAAGGAUGCAAGCGUUAUCCGGAAUUAUUGGGUUUAAAGGGUGCGUAGGCGGACUAAUAAGUCAGUGGUGAAAGCCUGCAGCUUAACUGCAGAAUUGCCAUUGAUACUGUUAGUCGUGAGUACAGUUGAGGUAGGCGGAAUGUGUCAUGUAGCGGUGAAAUGCUUAGAUAUGACACAGAACACCGAUUGCGAAGGCAGCUUGCUAAGCUGUAACUGACGCUGAGGCACGAAAGCGUGGGGAGCAAACA